ACGGCGUGGCCCGGCCGGCCGCCCGCUCGGAGCGGGUGCGGGCCGCGCUGUCGCGGUUCUACUUCGCCGACGCCGUC
Molecule: transfer RNA, 77 nt
Filed under: Phycicoccus endophyticus
Lineage: Bacteria; Bacillati; Actinomycetota; Actinomycetes; Micrococcales; Intrasporangiaceae
Description: tRNA-Pro
Source: RNAcentral